RNAcentral lists this ribosomal RNA (468 nucleotides) under uncultured bacterium. RNAcentral describes it as "partial 16S ribosomal RNA". It matches the Rfam family "Bacterial small subunit ribosomal RNA", at positions 28 to 507 of the family's 1533-position model. The record is from RNAcentral.
GACGAACGCUGGCGGCGUGCUUAACACAUGCAAGUCGAACGGAAAGGCCCUGCUUUUGUGGGGUGCUCGAGUGGCGAACGGGUGAGUAACACGUGAGUAACCUGCCCUUGACUUUGGGAUAACUUAAGGAAACUGGGGCUAAUACCGGAUAGGAGCUUCUGCUGCAUGGUGGGGGUUGGAAAGUUGCGGCGGUUGGGGCUGGACUCGCGGCUUAUGAGCUUGUUGGUGGGGUAGUGGUUUACCAAGGCUUUGACGGGUAGCCGGCCUGAGAGGGUGACCGGCCACAUGGGUCCUGCGGUAGGGCCCAGUCUCCUAUGGGAGGCAGCGGGCGGGAGCAUUGCACAGCGGUCGGACGCGUGAUACGACGGCCCUCGGUUCGGAAUGUCGUCUUUUGGGGUGUAAACCGCUUUCGCCUGAUACGAGGCGUUAGUGACGGUACUGGAUAAAGAAGCACCGGCUAACUACGUG